CAAGUCGAGCGGAAACGGCAGUAUUGAAGCUUCGGUGGAUUUACUGGACGUCGAGCGGCGGACGGGUGAGUAAUGGCUGGGAACCUGCCCUGACGAGGGGGAUAACCGUUGGAAACGACGGCUAAUACCGCAUAAUGUCUUGAUUCGUUAGAGUCAGGACCAAAGGUGGCCUCUACAUGUAAGCUAUCGCGUUGGGAUGGGCCCAGUUAGGAUUAGCUGGUUGGUAAGGUAAUGGCUUACCAAGGCGACGAUCCUUAGCUGGUUUGAGAGGAUGAUCAGCCACACUGGGACUGAGACACGGCCCAGACUCCUACGGGAGGCAGCAGUGGGGAAUAUUGCACAAUGGGGGAGACCCUGAUGCAGCCAUGCCGCGUGUGUGAAGAAGGCCUUCGGGUUGUAAAGCACUUUCAGCAGUGAGGAAGGUCGUGUACUUAAUACGUGCACGGCUUGACGUUAACUGCAGAAGAAGCACCGGCUAACUCCGUGCCAGCAGCCGCGGUAAUACGGAGGGUGCGAGCGUUAAUCGGAAUUACUGGGCGUAAAGCGCAUGCAGGCGGUUUGUUAAGUCAGAUGUGAAAGCCCGGGGCUCAACCUCGGAACCGCAUUUGAAACUGGCAGGCUAGAGUCUUGUAGAGGGGGGUAGAAUUUCAGGUGUAGCGGUGAAAUGCGUAGAGAUCUGAAGGAAUACCAGUGGCGAAGGCGGCCCCCUGGACAAAGACUGACGCUCA
RNAcentral lists this ribosomal RNA (728 nucleotides) under uncultured bacterium. RNAcentral's name for it is "bacterial SSU rRNA". It matches the Rfam family "Bacterial small subunit ribosomal RNA", at positions 58 to 749 of the family's 1533-position model. The record is from RNAcentral.